UACGAAGGGUGCAAGCGUUACUCGGAAUUACUGGGCGUAAAGCGUGCGUAGGUGGUGAGUUAAGUCUGUCGUGAAAGCCCCGGGCUCAACCUGGGAAUGGCGAUGGAUACUGGCUCGCUAGAGUGCGGUAGAGGAGAGUGGAAUUCCCGGUGUAGCAGUGAAAUGCGUAGAGAUCGGGAGGAACAUCUGUGGCGAAGGCGACUGCCUGGACCAGCACUGACACUGAGGCACGAAAGCGUGGGGAGCAAACAGG
Molecule: ribosomal RNA, 253 nt
Filed under: uncultured bacterium
Lineage: Bacteria
Description: partial 16S ribosomal RNA
Rfam family: Bacterial small subunit ribosomal RNA
Source: RNAcentral